Molecule: transfer RNA, 59 nt
Filed under: Cylindrotheca closterium
Lineage: Eukaryota; Bacillariophyta; Bacillariophyceae; Bacillariales; Bacillariaceae
Description: partial Selenocysteine transfer RNA
Source: RNAcentral
UAGGAAGAGCGAUUUGAAUAGUGGGUCGACCUUGGAGAAUAUCCCGCUCAAGUACACUA